UGCAAGUCGAGCGGAGUGAUGGUGCUUGCACUAUCACUUAGCGGCGGACGGGUGAGUAAUGCUUAGGAAUCUGCCUAUUAGUGGGGGACAACAUUUCGAAAGGAAUGCUAAUACCGCAUACGUCCUACGGGAGAAAGCAGGGGAUCUUCGGACCUUGCGCUAAUAGAUGAGCCUAAGUCGGAUUAGCUAGUUGGUGGGGUAAAGGCCUACCAAGGCGACGAUCUGUAGCGGGUCUGAGAGGAUGAUCCGCCACACUGGGACUGAGACACGGCCCAGACUCCUACGGGAGGCAGCAGUGGGGAAUAUUGGACAAUGGGCGCAAGCCUGAUCCAGCCAUGCCGCGUGUGUGAAGAAGGCCUUAUGGUUGUAAAGCACUUUAAGCGAGGAGGAGGCUACUGAAGUUAAUACCUUCAGAUAGUGGACGUUACUCGCAGAAUAAGCACCGGCUAACUCUGUGCCAGCAGCCGCGGUAAUACAGAGGGUGCAAGCGUUAAUCGGAUUUACUGGGCGUAAAGCGCGCGUAGGCGGCUAAUUAAGUCAAAUGUGAAAUCCCCGAGCUUAACUUGGGAAUUGCAUUCGAUACUGGUUAGCUAGAGUGUGGGAGAGGAUGGUAGAAUUCCAGGUGUAGCGGUGAAAUGCGUAGAGAUCUGGAGGAAUACCGAUGGCGAAGGCAGCCAUCUGGCCUAACACUGACGCUGAGGUGCGAAAGCAUGGGGAGCAAACAGGAUUAGAUACCCUGGUAGUCCAUGCCGUAAACGAUGUCUACUAGCCGUUGGGGCCUUUGAGGCUUUAGUGGCGCAGCUAACGCGAUAAGUAGACCGCCUGGGGAGUACGGUCGCAAGACUAAAACUCAAAUGAAUUGACGGGGGCCCGCACAAGCGGUGGAGCAUGUGGUUUAAUUCGAUGCAACGCGAAGAACCUUACCUGGCCUUGACAUAGUAAGAACUUUCCAGAGAUGGAUUGGUGCCUUCGGGAACUUACAUACAGGUGCUGCAUGGCUGUCGUCAGCUCGUGUCGUGAGAUGUUGGGUUAAGUCCCGCAACGAGCGCAACCCUUUUCCUUAUUUGCCAGCGAGUAAUGUCGGGAACUUUAAGGAUACUGCCAGUGACAAACUGGAAGAAGGCGGGGACGACGUCAAGUCAUCAUGGCCCUUACGGCCAGGGCUACCCACGUGCUACAAUGGUCGGUACAAAGGGUUGCUACCUAGCGAUAGGAUGCUAAUCUCAAAAAGCCGAUCGUAGUCCCGGAUUGGAAUCUGCAACUCGACUCCAUGAAGUCGGAAUC
This 1284-nucleotide ribosomal RNA is filed under the name Acinetobacter calcoaceticus. RNAcentral describes it as "bacterial SSU rRNA". It matches the Rfam family "Bacterial small subunit ribosomal RNA", at positions 56 to 1333 of the family's 1533-position model. Lineage: Bacteria; Pseudomonadati; Pseudomonadota; Gammaproteobacteria; Moraxellales; Moraxellaceae. The record is from RNAcentral.